Molecule: ribosomal RNA, 730 nt
Filed under: Basilaphelenchus sp. h BG-2019
Lineage: Eukaryota; Metazoa; Nematoda; Chromadorea; Rhabditida; Aphelenchoididae
Description: SSU rRNA
Rfam family: Eukaryotic small subunit ribosomal RNA
Source: RNAcentral
CGGCGAAGUUGCUUUCAAGUAUCUGCCCUAUCAACUUUCGUUGGCGGUGUAGCGGACCACCACGGUUGUAACGGGUAACGGAGGAUCAGGGUUUGACUCCGGAGAGGGAGCCUUAAAGACGGCUACCAUGUCUAAGGAUAGCAGCAGGCACGAAAAUUACCCAAUGCCAAUACGGUGAGGUAGUGACGAGAAAUAACGAGACUGUUCUCUCUGAGGUCGGUCAUCGGAAUGGAAAAAAUCCAGACACUUUAUUGAGUAUCUACGAGUGGGCAAGUCUGGUGCCAGCAGCCGCGGUAAUUCCAGCACUCGUAAGGUAUAGAAGUAUUGCUGCGUUUAAAAAGUUCGUAGUUGGAUUGUAUGGUGAGUGCGGGUCCGGCUUAACGGUCGGUACUCGUUGCUUGCUUUUUGUUCGUAUACGUCCGGUUGACUAACGUUGGCUGGUGCGUUGCGAAUAGGAUUACUUUGAACGGCUUAAGUGCUCAAAGCGAGGCUUAUGUCCGAAUACCGGUGCAUGGAAUAAUGGAACAAGGCUUCGGUCGAGUUUUUUUGGUUUUGGCGGCUAAGGCAAUGGUUAACAGGAACAGCCGGGGGCAUUCGUAUCGCGGCGCGAGAGGUGAAAUUCGUGGACCGUCGCGAGACGCACUAAAGCGAAAGCAUUUGCCAAGAGUGUUUUCAUUAAUCAAGAACGAAAGUCAGAGGUUCGAAGGCGAUUAGAUACCGCCCUAGUCUC